RNAcentral lists this unclassified non-coding RNA (399 nucleotides) under plant metagenome. RNAcentral describes it as "partial contains 5.8S ribosomal RNA, internal transcribed spacer 2, and large subunit ribosomal RNA". The record is from RNAcentral.
GAAGGCGGACGUGGCGUGGGAGGGGGAGCCUGACUGGUAUCAGUCUUCGCUAAUAGCGCGGCGUCCCUUUUGCGCUUCCUGCGGUACCAGCUUGGGCUUCGAGUUUCCCGACAGCGAGAAUAUGGAUCUGACCGUCGCCGCGUUUGACGAUCCCUCGCGCUUCCGCCCGAAGCAUCAUUUCGGAGCGGAGAGCAUGCAUAGGGCCUGGCUCAACACCAAAGGGCUACCGGAAUAUCGUGUGGACGAGUACAAGCCGGUCGUCGACCGCUGGAUGAAGAGCGUUGGCAAGCUACCCGACUGAGCACCGCUUCCGCACGUGGGACGGCGCCGAGCUCACGUGGCACGAGCUGGGGGAGGGGCCUGCAGUGCUCUCGCUCCACGGACUUGUCUCAAGCGCGC